GACGAACGCUGGCGGCGUGCUUAACACAUGCAAGUCGAGCGGUAAGGCCCUUUCGGGGGUACACGAGCGGCGAACGGGUGAGUAACACGUAUGCAACCUACCUAUAACUGGGGAAUAGCCUUCCGAAAGGAAGAUUAACACCGCAUAACAUCACGAAACGGCAUCGUUUUGUGAUCAAACCUCCGGGGGUUAUAGAUGGGCAUGCGUAACAUUAGCUAGUUGG
Molecule: ribosomal RNA, 223 nt
Filed under: uncultured bacterium
Lineage: Bacteria
Description: partial 16S ribosomal RNA
Rfam family: Bacterial small subunit ribosomal RNA
Source: RNAcentral